Molecule: ribosomal RNA, 898 nt
Filed under: uncultured bacterium
Lineage: Bacteria
Description: partial 16S ribosomal RNA
Rfam family: Bacterial small subunit ribosomal RNA
Source: RNAcentral
GACGAACGCUGGCGGCGUGCUUAACACAUGCAAGUCGAACGCUGAAGCUCAGCUUGCUGGGUGGAUGAGUGGCGAACGGGUGAGUAACACGUGAGUAACCUGCCCCCUUCUUUGGGAUAACGCCCGGAAACGGGUGCUAAUACUGGAUAUUCACUGAUCUUCGCAUGGGGGUUGGUGGAAAGGUUUGUUCUGGUGGGGGAUGGGCUCGCGGCCUAUCAGCUUGUUGGUGGGGUGAUGGCCUACCAAGGCUUUGACGGGUAGCCGGCCUGAGAGGGUGACCGGUCACAUUGGGACUGAGAUACGGCCCAGACUCCUACGGGAGGCAGCAGUGGGGAAUAUUGCACAAUGGGCGCAAGCCUGAUGCAGCGACGCCGCGUGAGGGAUGGAGGCCUUCGGGUUGUAAACCUCUUUCGCUCAUGGUCAAGCCGCAACAGUGGUUGUGGUGAGGGUAGUGGGUAAAGAAGCGCCGGCUAACUACGUGCCAGCAGCCGCGGUAAUACGUAGGGCGCGAGCGUUGUCCGGAAUUAUUGGGCGUAAAGGGCUUGUAGGCGGUUGGUCGCGUCUGCCGUGAAAUCCUCUGGCUUAACUGGGGGGCUUGCGGUGUGUUCGGUCUGAUUUGAGUGGGUGGGGGGAGACUGGAAUUCUUUGUGUACGGUGAAAUGCUCAGAUAUCAGGAAAACACCAGUAGCGAAAUUGGUUUUCUGGGCCGUACUUGCCCAAAGAGCGAAACCUGGGGAGCGAAAGAGAUAGAUACCUUAGGUCCCCGGGCGGAUUCGCAGGGGGGGAGGCCGCCCACUCAGCGGCGUUGUAGAAUGGGGGGUCGCCCCCCCCCCUUCCCCCCUAAAAUAAUCCCGUUUACCCUGUUCCACUAAGUUUGUGGCAUGUUUUUUGAAAAAGG